CCUACGGGUGGCUGCAGUGGGGAAUAUUGGACAAUGGGCGAAAGCCUGAUCCAGCCAUGCCGCGUGUGUGAAGAAGGCCUUCGGGUUGUAAAGCACUUUCAGUGGGGAAGAAAGCCUUGGGGCUAAUACCCUCGAGGAAGGACAUCACCCACAGAAGAAGCACCGGCUAACUCCGUGCCAGCAGCCGCGGUAAUACGGAGGGUGCGAGCGUUAAUCGGAAUUACUGGGCGUAAAGCGCGCGUAGGCGGUCUGAUAAGCCGGUUGUGAAAGCCCCGGGCUCAACCUGGGAACGGCAUCCGGAACUGUCAGGCUAGAGUGCAGGAGAGGAAGGUAGAAUUCCCGGUGUAGCGGUGAAAUGCGUAGAGAGCGGGAGGAAUACCAGUGGCGAAGGCGGCCUUCUGGACUGACACUGACGCUGAGGUGCGAAAGCGUGGGUAGCAAACAGGAUUAGAUACCCCAGUAGUC
This 465-nucleotide ribosomal RNA is filed under the name Vreelandella stevensii. RNAcentral describes it as "partial 16S ribosomal RNA". It matches the Rfam family "Bacterial small subunit ribosomal RNA", at positions 338 to 795 of the family's 1533-position model. Lineage: Bacteria; Pseudomonadati; Pseudomonadota; Gammaproteobacteria; Oceanospirillales; Halomonadaceae. The record is from RNAcentral.